AAUCUACCCUCGGGUGGGGAAUAACUUAAGGAAACUUAAGCUAAUACCGCAUAACGCAGCGGCUCCAUAUGGAGACAGUUGUUAAAGCAUUUAUGCGCCUGGGGAGGAGCUUGCGGCAGAUUAGCUAGUUGGUAAGGUAACGGCUUACCAAGGCAACGAUCUGUAGCCGGUCUAAGAGGACGGUCGGUCUCACUGACACUGAAUAACGGGUCAGACUCCUACGGGAGGCAGCAGUCGGGAAUUUUGGGCAAUGGGCGAAAGCCUGACCCAGCAACGCCGCGUGAAGGAUGAAGUCUUUCGGGAUGUAAACUUCGGAAAUAUGGGAAGAAUAAAUGACGGUACCAUAUCUAAGGUCCGGCUAACUACGUGCCAGCAGCCGCGGUAAUACGUAGGGACCAAGCGUUUGUUCGGAUUUACUGGGCGUAAAAGGGUACGUAGGCGGCGCUGCAAGUCAAUUGUGAAAUCCUCCGGGCUUAACUCGGAACGGCCAAUUUGAUACUGCAGUGCUAGAGUGCAGAAUGGGCAAGUGGAAUUCUUUGGUGUAGCGGUG
RNAcentral lists this ribosomal RNA (550 nucleotides) under uncultured bacterium. Its description in RNAcentral is "bacterial SSU rRNA". It matches the Rfam family "Bacterial small subunit ribosomal RNA", at positions 123 to 683 of the family's 1533-position model. The record is from RNAcentral.